RNAcentral lists this ribosomal RNA (219 nucleotides) under uncultured bacterium. RNAcentral describes it as "partial 16S ribosomal RNA". It matches the Rfam family "Bacterial small subunit ribosomal RNA", at positions 524 to 742 of the family's 1533-position model. The record is from RNAcentral.
UACGGAGGGUGCAAGCGUUGUCCGGAAUCACUGGGCGUAAAGGGCGCGUAGGCGGCUCAUGAAGGCUGUGGUGAAAGUCCGGGGCUCAACCUCGGAUCGGCCGUGGCGACUCGUGGGCUGGAGCACUGUAGAGGCGGGUGGAAUUCCGGGUGUAGCGGUGGAAUGCGCAGAUAUCAGGAGGAACACCGAUGGCGAAGGCAGAUCUCUGGGCCGUAACUG